GACGAACGCUGGCGGCGUGCCUAAUACAUGCAAGUCGAGCGGACCGGAUUGGGGCUUGCCUUGAUUCGGUCAGCGGCGGACGGGUGAGUAACACGUGGGCAACCUGCCCGCAAGACCGGGAUAACUCCGGGAAACCGGAGCUAAUACCGGAUAACACCGAAGACCGCAUGGUCUUCGGUUGAAAGGCGGCCUUUGGGCUGUCACUUGCGGAUGGGCCCGCGGCGCAUUAGCUAGUUGGUGAGGUAACGGCUCACCAAGGCGACGAUGCGUAGCCGGCCUGGGAGGGUGACCGGCCACACUGGGACUGAGACACGGCCCAGACUCCUACGGGAGGCAGCAGUAGGGAAUCUUCCGCAAUGGGCGAAAGCCUGACGGAGCGACGCCGCGUGAGCGAAGAAGGCCUUCGGGUCGUAAAGCUCUGUUGUGAGGGACGAAGGAGCGUCGUUCGAAGAGGGCGGCGCGGUGACGGUACCUCACGAGAAAGCCCCGGCUAACUACGU
This 500-nucleotide ribosomal RNA is filed under the name uncultured bacterium. RNAcentral's name for it is "partial 16S ribosomal RNA". It matches the Rfam family "Bacterial small subunit ribosomal RNA", at positions 28 to 506 of the family's 1533-position model. The record is from RNAcentral.